RNAcentral lists this ribosomal RNA (465 nucleotides) under Vreelandella stevensii. RNAcentral describes it as "partial 16S ribosomal RNA". It matches the Rfam family "Bacterial small subunit ribosomal RNA", at positions 338 to 795 of the family's 1533-position model. The record is from RNAcentral. Lineage: Bacteria; Pseudomonadati; Pseudomonadota; Gammaproteobacteria; Oceanospirillales; Halomonadaceae.
CCUACGGGUGGCAGCAGUGGGGAAUAUUGGACAAUGGGCGAAAGCCUGAUCCAGCCAUGCCGCGUGUGUGAAGAAGGCCUUCGGGUUGUAAAGCACUUUCAGUGGGGAAGAAAGCCUUGGGGCUAAUACCCUCGAGGAAGGACAUCACCCACAGAAGAAGCACCGGCUAACUCCGUGCCAGCAGCCGCGGUAAUACGGAGGGUGCGAGCGUUAAUCGGAAUUACUGGGCGUAAAGCGCGCGUAGGCGGUCUGAUAAGCCGGUUGUGAAAGCCCCGGGCUCAACCUGGGAACGGCAUCCGGAACUGUCAGGCUAGAGUGCAGGAGAGGAAGGUAGAAUUCCCGGUGUAGCGGUGAAAUGCGUAGAGAUCGGGAGGAAUACCAGUGGCGAAGGCGACCUUCUGGACUGACACUGACGCUGAGGUGCGAAAGCGUGGGUAGCAAACAGGAUUAGAUACCCCGGUAGUC